RNAcentral lists this ribosomal RNA (301 nucleotides) under uncultured Slackia sp. Its description in RNAcentral is "bacterial SSU rRNA". It matches the Rfam family "Bacterial small subunit ribosomal RNA", at positions 501 to 795 of the family's 1533-position model. Lineage: Bacteria; Bacillati; Actinomycetota; Coriobacteriia; Eggerthellales; Eggerthellaceae. The record is from RNAcentral.
CCCCGUGCGGGCCGAUGUGGCGGGGUAAGACGUGGUGGUCGUGCGUGGGUAGGAGUGAUUGGGCGGGCAGGGCUGGGAGGCGGUUUGGCAAGGCGGGUGUGAAAGCCCCGGGCUAAAGUCGGAGGCGUCACUCGAGACUGCCAUGAUUCGAGUCCGGUAGGGGAGUGCGGAAUUGCUGGUGUAGCGGUGAAAUGCGCAGAUAUCAGGAGGAACACCGGUGGCGAAGGCGGCACUCUGGGCCGGUACUGACGCUGAGGAGCGAAAGCGUGGGGAGCGAACAGGAUUAGAUACCCGAGUAGUC